RNAcentral lists this ribosomal RNA (434 nucleotides) under uncultured bacterium. RNAcentral's name for it is "partial 16S ribosomal RNA". It matches the Rfam family "Bacterial small subunit ribosomal RNA", at positions 29 to 507 of the family's 1533-position model. The record is from RNAcentral.
AACGAACGCUGGCGGCAUGCCUAACACAUGCAAGUCGAACGAGAUCUUCGGGUCUAGUGGCGCACGGGUGCGUAACGCGUGGGAAUCUGCCCUCAGGUUCGGACUCACCAUUGGAAACGCUGGCUAAUACCGGAAGAUGACGUUAAGUCCAAAGAUUUAUCGCCUGAGGAUGAGCCCGCGUAGGUUUAGCUAGUUGGUGUGGUAAAGGCGCACCAAGGCGACGAUCCUUAGCUGGUCUGAGAGGAUGAUCAGCCACACUGGGACUGAGACACGGCCCAGACUCCUACGGGAGGCAGCAAGGGGGAAUAUUGGACAAUGGGCGAAAGCCUGAUCCAGCAAUGCCGCGUGAGUGAUGAAGGCCUUAGGGUUGUAAAGCUCUUUUACCCGGGAUGAUAAUGACAGUACCGGGAGAAUAAGCUCCGGCUAACUCCGUG